Molecule: long non-coding RNA, 485 nt
Organism: Gigantopelta aegis
Lineage: Eukaryota; Metazoa; Mollusca; Gastropoda; Neomphalida; Peltospiridae
Exons: 2
Source: RefSeq, a predicted model, not a curated record
AAACUUAAAUAAUAAUAGUAAAUGCCUAAUUUUCUAUUCCUGGUAAUGAUUAAUGAAUAAUUCAACAUAUAAUAUUUAAUAAUAAAUCUGCCUUUUAAUUAUUAUGGAUUACAGGGCGUGACAUAAUGAAUGUCAGCCAUCUUUGUUUUCUGCUGUCAAAACUAUAUAUUUUAUGAUUUAAGUGAAGUUUCUGUUUUAGUUGUUAGCUUAUCUGAGUUAAUAAUUUAGCUACGUUUAAUCAAUUGUUUUUAUGACGAACUACACCAAAGCAUUGGUUUUGGAAUGAAUUAGUUUAAAUGUUUUAGUUCUGAAUGUAUAAUAGAUAUAUGGAAACCAUAUACUAAACAAUUGAUAUUAUGAAUUUAUUUUUAUGCAGGUUUCCCCAGUUGUUAUGGAAUAUAUCAACACAAUGCCUACGUGUAAUUCAUAUGGGUGUGUCUUGUGUAUUAUGUUUACAUGAAUAAAAGAUGAUGCCCUAACCCGUA